GCCUGAACCAGCCAAGUCGCGUGAGGGAAGACGGCCCUAAGGGUUGUAAACCUCUUUUGCCGGGGAGCAAAAGCGCCGUGCGCGGUGCUAUGAGAGUACCCGGAGAAAAAGCAUCGGCUAACUCCGUGCCAGCAGCCGCGGUAAUACGGAGGAUGCGAGCGUUAUCCGGAUUUAUUGGGUUUAAAGGGUGCGUAGGCGGACAGUUAAGUCAGCGGUCAAAACGGGCGGCUCAACCGCCUGCCGCCGUUGAAACUGGCAGUCUAGAGUGGGCGAGAAGUACGCGGAAUGCGCGGUGUAGCGGUGAAAUGCAUAGAUAUUGCGCAGAACUCCGAUUGCGAAGGCAGCGUACCGGCGCCCGACUGACGCUGAGGCACGAAAGCGUGGGGAUCGAACAGGAUUAGAUACCCUGGUAGUCCACGCAGUAAACGAUGGACACUAUCUGUUCGGGUCGAGAGAGAUCUGAGUGGCACAGCGAAAGCGUUAAGUGUCCCACCUGGGGAGUACGCCGGCAACGGUGAAACUCAAAGGAAUUGACGGGGGCCCGCACAAGCGGAGGAACAUGUGGUUUAAUUCGAUGAUACGCGAGGAACCUUACCCGGGCUCAAACGCACGACGGCGGCACGUGAAAGCGUGCUUACCUACGGGACGUUGUGCGAGGUGCUGCAUGGUUGUCGUCAGCUCGUGCCGUGAGGUGUCGGCUUAAGUGCCAUAACGAGCGCAACCCCCAUCCGCAGUUGCCAGCAGGUAAAGCUGGGGACUCUGCGGAGACUGCCGGCGCAAGCUGAGAGGAAGGCGGGGAUGACGUCAAAUCAGCACGGCCCUUACGUCCGGGGCGACACACGUGUUACAAUGGCAGGGACAGAGGGAAGCCACCGGGCGACCGGGCGCGGACCCCGAAACCCUGUCUCAGUUCGGAUCGGAGUCUGCAACUCGACUCCG
Molecule: ribosomal RNA, 939 nt
Filed under: human gut metagenome
Description: bacterial SSU rRNA
Rfam family: Bacterial small subunit ribosomal RNA
Source: RNAcentral